CUUUCGACUACUGGGGGAAAGGUACAAUGGUUACAGUCACAACAGACACUUCAACUGCACCCACUGUGUUUCCUCUGGUACCAUGUGGUUCUGAAAGUGGAGAUAUGGUCACUCUUGGCUGCCUUGCCACUGGCUUUAACCCUCCUGCAGUGACUUUCUCAUGGAGCAACGACAACAAUCCCUUGACAGACUUCAUCCAGUACCCUGCAGUACAAAAAGGCAAUGUUUAUACUGGAGUCAGUCAAAUCCGAGUGAGGAGACAGGACUGGGAUGGACGACAGAAUUUUCAAUGUGCUGUAAACCACACUGCUGGAAUUGCACAGACUCCUAUCACAAAACCACGUAAGCCUGAUGAGGCGUCUGAGCCGGUGAACAAUACUAACCAAAACAACAAAGGAGAGCCAACAGUAGCAGUCUACAUCCCCCCACAGCUGCACACUGACCAGUUUCAGUCUGAAGAUAAAAUCACUCUGGUGUGUCUGGUCACCAGUACUGUGGAUGAGACGUAUAAAAUCGAAUGGUCAGAAAUCAGAGCAAAAAUGACCAGAAAUGGCGACGUAUGA
Molecule: non-coding RNA, 563 nt
Organism: Maylandia zebra (zebra mbuna)
Lineage: Eukaryota; Metazoa; Chordata; Actinopteri; Cichliformes; Cichlidae
Source: the annotation of a RefSeq genome assembly